GCAGACACAUUCCAGCCAAUCAGCAGCAGACCCUCCCUCCCAGACCCUUCCACCUCCUGGACAGCAUCCAUUUUGAAGCUGCAUUGUUAGUGAGCUGUCCAGGAGGUGGGAGGGUCUGGGAGGGAGGGUCUGCUGCUGAUUGGCUGGAAUGUGUCUG
RNAcentral lists this microRNA precursor (157 nucleotides) under Pelobates cultripes (western spadefoot toad). Lineage: Eukaryota; Metazoa; Chordata; Amphibia; Anura; Pelobatidae. The record is from RNAcentral.